This 1024-nucleotide ribosomal RNA is filed under the name Arthrobacter sp. Its description in RNAcentral is "bacterial SSU rRNA". It matches the Rfam family "Bacterial small subunit ribosomal RNA", at positions 406 to 1438 of the family's 1533-position model. The record is from RNAcentral. Lineage: Bacteria; Bacillati; Actinomycetota; Actinomycetes; Micrococcales; Micrococcaceae.
GGAUGGCGGCCAUUCGGGUUGUAAACCUCUUUCAGUAGGGAAGAAGCGGAAAGUGACGGUUCCUGCAGAAGAAGCACCGGCUAAUUACGUACCAGCAUCCGCGGUAAUACGUAGGGCGCAAGCGUUAUCCGGAAUUAUUGGGCGUAAAGAGCUCGUAGGCGGUUUGUCGCGUCUUCCGUGAAAGUCCGGGGCUCAACUCCGGAUCUGCGGUGGGUACGGGCAGACUAGAGUGAUGUAGGGGAGACUGGAAUUCCUGGUGUAGCGGUGAAAUGCGCAGAUAUCAGGAGGAACGCCGAUGGCGAAGGCAGGUCUCUGGGCAUUAACUGACGCUGAGGAGCGAAAGCAUGGGGAGCGAACAGGAUUAGAUACCCUGGUAGUCCAUGCCGUAAACGUUGGGCACUAGGUGUGGGGGACAUUCCACGUUUUCCGCGCCGUAGCUAACGCAUUAAGUGCCCCGCCUGGGGAGUACGGCCGCAAGGCUAAAACUCAAAGGAAUUGACGGGGGCCCGCACAAGCGGCGGAGCAUGCGGAUUAAUUCGAUGCAACGCGAAGAACCUUACCAAGGCUUGACAUGAACCGGUAAUACCUGGAGACAGGUGCCCCGCUUGCGGUCGGUUUACAGGUGGUGCAUGGUUGUCGUCAGCUCGUGUCGUGAGAUGUUGGGUUAAGUCCCGCAACGAGCGCAACCCUCGUUCUAUGUUGCCAGCACGUGAUGGUGGGGACUCAUAGGAGACUGCCGGGGUCAACUCGGAGGAAGGUGGGGACGACGUCAAAUCAUCAUGCCCCUUAUGUCUUGGGCUUCACGCAUGCUACAAUGGCCGGUACAAAGGGUUGCGAUACUGUGAGGUGGAGCUAAUCCCAAAAAGCCGGUCUCAGUUCGGAUUGGGGUCUGCAACUCGACCCCAUGAAGUCGGAGUCGCUAGUAAUCGCAGAUCAGCAACGCUGCGGUGAAUACGUUCCCGGGCCUUGUACACACCGCCCGUCAAGUCACGAAAGUUGGUAACACCCGAAGCCGGUGGCCUAA